UGAAUGGUUUGACGAGAGCUAUGCUGUCUCUUUUGGAAUAUUUAAAAAUUAACUUUUAGGUGAAGAGGCCUAAAUUUGUUUAAGGGACAAGAAGACCCUGUUGAGCUUUAGUGAAAUUAUAAGUGUAAUGAACCUUGUGAAGCUUGCUUUACCAGUUAUUAUGUAAUUUUUAUAAUAAUAGGCUUGUAAUUAAUCUUUAGUUGGGGCGACUGAGGAACAUGUAAAGCUUCCUUAAUUUUAUAUAUAUUAAUGUUAUAUUGUAAGUUUUUAAAUGUUUUUGUAUUAUUUUGAUCCAAUUUGUUUUGAUUAAAAGAAAAAGUUACCACAGGGAUAACAGCGUAAUCUUUCUGGAGAGAUCUAAUCAAAAGAAGGGUUUGCGACCUCGAUGUUGGACUAAGAUAUCCUAAGGGUGCAGAAGCUCUUAAAGGUUGGUCUGUUCGACCAUUAAAAUCUU
This 454-nucleotide ribosomal RNA is filed under the name Jujubinus vexationis. Its description in RNAcentral is "partial 16S ribosomal RNA". It matches the Rfam family "Bacterial large subunit ribosomal RNA", at positions 1993 to 2597 of the family's 2925-position model. Lineage: Eukaryota; Metazoa; Mollusca; Gastropoda; Trochida; Trochidae. The record is from RNAcentral.